Non-coding RNA from Heterocephalus glaber (naked mole-rat), 675 nucleotides. The record is from RefSeq and is a predicted model, not a curated record. NCBI's taxonomy places the organism in Eukaryota, Metazoa, Chordata, Mammalia, Rodentia, Bathyergidae.
AAGGCACUUCCCUCUUCUGUGGCUGCUGGAUUUCAAGACAAAGCUUCCAGAAUAGUGAGUUUCCCUUUCCUGGAGUCCUGCCAGAGUGGAGGGUGCACGUAUGUGUGUCUGUGUAUUCACAUGCAAGUAACCAGCCAAAAUGACAUGGGCUCUGCUUCUUCUCAGAGGCAAAAGGUGCAGUAUUAAAUUGCAAUAUCGACGCAAGCACCAAAGAACUACAGUGCUACCCUGAGGACAAAAGGCAUUUUCAAUGUCUUAAAUAUAUUACAAAGAAGUCUUUUCUUUAAAUCAUCAAGCAAGUAUUCAAUUUAGAUGGUGUCUCGUGGAUAAUCUCUAAGUAAAACAACUGGUUCCAGUUUGCUUGUUGAAAGAAUUGUGACAGAAGAGCAGAGCUUAAUGAUGAAUACCCCAGCAAUAAUCGUGCAGCUGCAGAAGACAAUGAUCCUGGAAAAUUCACCACCACCCUGGGUAUUUGGAUUUUCUCUUCGUAAAUAGUUGUAGAUUGUGUGAUUUGAGUUUCUACUACAUAGUUUGCUUAUUCCACAUUAAACUGCAAAUCCUCCAAGGAUAGAGGGCGAUUUUUAUAUUUUAUAACUUCAUGUAACUUAUAUUAAAAACUUUCAUACAGAGUAAAAUUAUCAAUGGAAAUGUAUUGUCCAGAGGACAAUAAAUGGA